Molecule: ribosomal RNA, 520 nt
Filed under: Marinobacter nauticus
Lineage: Bacteria; Pseudomonadati; Pseudomonadota; Gammaproteobacteria; Pseudomonadales; Marinobacteraceae
Description: bacterial SSU rRNA
Rfam family: Bacterial small subunit ribosomal RNA
Source: RNAcentral
CUGGCUCAGAUUGAACGCUGGCGGCAGGCUUAACACAUGCAAGUCGAGCGGUAACAGGGGAAGCUUGCUUCCCGCUGACGAGCGGCGGACGGGUGAGUAAUGCUUAGGAAUCUGCCCAGUAGUGGGGGAUAGCCCGGGGAAACCCGGAUUAAUACCGCAUACGUCCUACGGGAGAAAGCAGGGGAUCUUCGGACCUUGCGCUAUUGGAUGAGCCUAAGUCGGAUUAGCUAGUUGGUGGGGUAAAGGCCUACCAAGGCGACGAUCCGUAGCUGGUCUGAGAGGAUGAUCAGCCACAUCGGGACUGAGACACGGCCCGAACUCCUACGGGAGGCAGCAGUGGGGAAUAUUGGACAAUGGGGGCAACCCUGAUCCAGCCAUGCCGCGUGUGUGAAGAAGGCUUUCGGGUUGUAAAGCACUUUCAGUAGGGAGGAAAACCUUAUGGCUAAUACCCAUGAGGCUUGACGUUACCUACAGAAGAAGCACCGGCUAACUCCGUGCCAGCAGCCGCGGUAAUACGGAG